Molecule: long non-coding RNA, 2704 nt
Filed under: Rattus norvegicus (Norway rat)
Lineage: Eukaryota; Metazoa; Chordata; Mammalia; Rodentia; Muridae
Description: long non-coding RNA NONRATT014510
Source: RNAcentral
UCAUCAACGUCAAAGGCAAAGGGGAGCUGCGGACUUACUUUGUUUGUACAGACACUGCCAAGUUUCAAGGGCUGGGGCUAAACUGAGGUGUCUGGUGGUUUGUCUCCUUCCCUGAGGGAGCCCUGCCUGCUGCAGAUGGCUGUGGCUUCUUUGGACCUGCACUACAGGAUGGCUGACUGUACAUCAGAUUUUUUGAAGCAGCUACUGUGCGGUACACAGAGGCUCUGUGCUUCAGCUACUUUAGGCUGGGUUCCUUUCCAGGGUGCUGAGGAAGAGACUUUAGGACAUGUAUCUUGGUGGCCAGUGAACAGCAUACCUGGGGAGGAAAACCUCUACUGGCUACAGGAGGCUCAGCCAGGCUGUCUAGCAUGGGCUGAUGCCCCCCCUUCCUCCUCCCAUCAAACCUACCAAGGGAUGCUAGUCUCUCAAUUAGGCGUUCUGGCAAAUGGAGUUCAAAACUGCGUAUCGGUGGGUAAUCUCAGAGAAAACGUCUGAUCGACACUUGUCACUUUUACCAUCUCUGGCUUAUGUUUGAAGUGGACGUUGUAAAUGGGAGUUUCAUCUUCAUACUGACUCUUAGAUGCUAGACAAAGAUCUCAUUUCUAGUGUAUUUUCUCUUGUUGACCAUGGACUACCCAUACAUAGGACUGCUGUUCAGUGUCAGCUUACAGGACCAGCUUGGCUGCAGGGACAGAGUUCUAAGGAAUGGGGCUCUUAGCAAGACAUAAGCAGCAGCAAAGCUUCAAAUUUGCAAUCAAGCAUUUUUUUUUUUUUUGAUGCAAGUCUUUUGGGACGAGGUUCAGGAAGUUCAGAGUCUAGAAAUGAGGUAUAUGAUGUUUCGGUUCUUCAGUCUGCACUUUAUUUUGAAGAGAGGGUCAGCCUAGGUUGGUCUUAAAUUUUUAACCUGUUUCAGUCUCUAGAGUGCUUCAAUUACAGAUGUGCACUACCAUCUCCAGCUUUUUUUUUGGUGGGAAAGCCUGUGUAGACAGAGUUUGGAAAGCUUGUGUACCCCUUUCCUUUUCUCCAGUCUUCUGAGCUGACUGCAGAGCCCCAAGUACAAUCUACUUGGCAGGAACACGUGUUCAGGACCCUGGCCUGGGAACUGAGCCCCUCAACAAAUGCCAAGUAGUUCUUAUGUAAAUGAGUCAAGGCAAACACCAGCUUUGUGAGACAGUGUCUUACUGUGCUUUAGCUCCAGACUGGUCCAAGUGAGAGAUGACCAAACACCCAUUAGGAAAUGACUUCACUACCACAGAGCAUCACUACAUCCUGGUAUCCUAGGGAGGAGACACCUCGGAACCCCAGCACCUACAGAUGACACAGGCGCUGCACACAGGGAGCCAGCCAGCCAGGUUUAUCUGUGACUUUAGGCUAAGUAGUCGGGUGUAGAAGGGAGAGAGGGAAAGGAGGGCUGAUUUUAGUUUGCACAAAGGAAUCUAGUAGUGGUCAGGGCUUCCCAGCAAGGCAUCCCUGGGGAGUUUGUGAAGUUCCUGGUGACGCCCCGCAAUGCAGUUCAGACAGCAGGAAUGAGCCUCCCCAAGGCUGACACAUUUCUACUCUUCCAACAGCCAAGUUACUUUUCCCUCCAGCAACAGAAAUCCUAGCUUGAGUUUAAAAGUAACUGGCUACCAUUCGCACACUGUUCUUUACUUUCAACUGAAGCACUGUGCUAGGAGUAUUUAAGUUAUUGUUCAGGUCAUAAGAGUGUAACUGACAAAAAAAAUCACUUGGGACUUAUGCACACAUACUUGGUUUUUACUUUCCAAGUAAUUUCUUCACAGGUGUCUUGUUUUAUCAUAGGAACUUUAAAAAAAAAAAUUCUUCUGUGGGUCAAGGAUUCGUUUCAGGAUCUCCACUGAGGCGGCCCUCACUGACUACAGACAGUAAUACCCCAAGUCUUCUGACUUAAAAACACUUCCUGACAAAAAUGAUUAUUACUGUGUACUUCAUGGAUAACAGGUCAAUGCUAAGUGGGUACAAGCAAAUAACUAUGGUUUGUUCUGUAUGUUUAAUAUUUAUAGAUUGGUAACAUUUGCCUCAGUGUUGUUUCAUUUUCAUAAAUCAGUGCCUGGUUCCUUUUUAUAGUUCAACCAACAAUUAAAAACCUGAAGCAAAGUGUUUCUGGGACUUGAGGAACGGACGGUGUUAAGUCAAUCUACUGGUGAAGAAUGGGUUAAAUGUCUGAACAGGGUCUCAUGUAAUCUUCAACUCCCAAUCUUCCUGUCUCCAUUCCUAAGUGCUAGGACUGCAGACAUGUGUCAUUCCAGCCAGUCCAUGUGAGUGCGUGUUGAUGUGAGUGCAGGCCUGCACGGAAGAGAUCAGAGGACAACCUUGGGUGUCAGUCCUCACUCGCCUUCUACUUUGAGACAGGGUUUCUUGCUUCUGAGAGCUUCAUAGCUGCCCUAUGAACUUCCAGAGAUUCUCUGGUCUCUACCUCCCACCUUCCUGUAGGGGUGCAGAGAUCAGAGACAUGUAUGUUACUGUAUCCAGCUUUGUACUGGGCUUCUGGUGAUCCAAACUCAGACUCUCAGGCUUGCACAAGCGCUUCAGACACAGAGCAGUGUGUAUGGUGCAGAGGAUGAGACUCCAGGCGUCACGAACUCUGGCCAAGCACUCUAUCAACAGACCUACACCCCUUAGCCUCUAAUCGGCAGACUAAAAUCAGAAUCUAAAAAGACCUUAAAAAAAAAGUUUAAAAAGACCU